This 507-nucleotide ribosomal RNA is filed under the name uncultured bacterium. RNAcentral's name for it is "bacterial SSU rRNA". It matches the Rfam family "Bacterial small subunit ribosomal RNA", at positions 24 to 518 of the family's 1533-position model. The record is from RNAcentral.
UCAGGACGAACGCUGGCGGCGUGCCUAACACAUGCAAGUCGAGCGGGACAUUGCGACGGACUUGAAGAUUCGGUUGGAUAGAAGAUGUAAUGUCUAGCGGCGGACGGGUGAGUAACGCGUGAGCAACCUGUCCCUUACAGGGGGAUAACACAGCGAAAGUUGUACUAAUACCGCAUGAGACCACAGCAUCACAUGGUGCGGGGGUCAAAGGAGCAAUCCGGUAAGGGGUGGGCUCGCGUCCGAUUAGAUAGUUGGUGAGGUAACGGCCCACCAAGUCGACGAUCGGUAGCCGACCUGAGAGGGUGAUCGGCCACAUUGGGACUGAGACACGGCCCAAACUCCUACGGGAGGCAGCAGUGGGGAAUAUUGGGCAAUGGGGGAAACCCUGAACCCCAGCAACGCCGCGUGAGGGAAGAAGGUUUUCGGAUCGUAAACCUCUGUCCUAUGUGAAGAGUAAGAGACGGUAGCAUAGGAGGAAGCCCCGGCUAACUACGUGCCAGCAGCAGC